UGCCAGCAGCCGCGGUAAGACGGAGGGCGCAAGCGUUGUUCGGAAUUACUGGGCGUAAAGCGCACGCAGGCGGUCUUUUAAGUCCACUGUGAAACUCCGGGGCUCAACCCCGGACAUGCAGCGGAAACUGGAAGACUAGAGAUCGGUAGAGGCUAAUGGAAUUCCUGGUGUAGCGGUGGAAUGCGUAGAUAUCAGGAAGAACACCGGUGGCGAAGGCGGUUAGCUGGGCCGAAUCUGACGCUCAUGUGCGAAAGCGUGGGGAGCAAACAGGAUUAGAUA
Molecule: ribosomal RNA, 279 nt
Filed under: uncultured bacterium
Lineage: Bacteria
Description: partial 16S ribosomal RNA
Rfam family: Bacterial small subunit ribosomal RNA
Source: RNAcentral